UUCUGGCCUUCAUAUUGCAUAAGAGACGAGAUAAACACUGAAACGCCUGAAGCAAGAAGCAAAAAAUCAGAUGGAGCCUUCAAAACCGCUUGAACUCAUCAACUGCGCCUAAGGAGGGUCGAUCCACCGUCGAUCUUCAGACGCCUGCAUCUCCACCCGCAAAGGGGCUUCUUCAACCCAGAAGUAGUCUGCCGUGCUGGAUUCCAGAUCUGCUGCUAACAGAUGAGUAGCUUUAUUACCAUCGUGAGGGACGAAUCUGAACGAACAUGCAUGGAAGGAUUCAGCCCUUCUCCGUUCCUCCCAUGUCAUCGCGCUAAUCUCUGAAAGGUCUGGUUCAUGUGAGCUUAAUUUCUCUAUUACUGUGCGAGAAUCCCCCUCAAAGAUUACGUGCUGGAAUCCGAGGUCAACAGAAAAUUGGACAGCGUGUAUGGGCGCCAUCGCCUCGGCCAUGAACGGAGAGGUAAUUUGCUCAGUUUUCCGUUUACAUGUUCCCAUAAUGAAAACCUUCGUUAUUCCUAAUAACAAUUCCUGACCAAGCUCUUUUCUGUGCUUGCGAGAACCUGGAAUCAAAAUUGAUUUUAACCCAUGGGACGCGAGGGGGUAUCCAGCGAAACAGAGUCUGUGCAUGGACUCCCCGAAGGCAAGUAUUUGCUGUAGUAAAAUCCAAGCACUGGGCUUUGACAAGGGGUAACUAGGAAACAACUCGCCUAACCAGAUCAAAAAAUUAUCAGCAUAAUCAGCUACUGGCCAUUGGUAGUUUAACGUGGGCCAAACCGAUCGGGCGAAAUGGCAAUCUUUAAUAACAUGAAUUCCAGAUUCCAAAACACCUGCACACUGAGAGCACGUUGGAUCGUUCGUAAUACGCUUAACAUGUAGGUUUUGUCUGAUGGGUAUGUAAUUGCAAACAAAUCUCCAAACUUGAAUUUUAAUUUUCCUUUGACA
This is a long non-coding RNA of Hibiscus syriacus, 942 nucleotides long. RefSeq lists it as uncharacterized. The record is from RefSeq and is a predicted model, not a curated record. The transcript is spliced from 2 exons. Lineage: Eukaryota; Viridiplantae; Streptophyta; Magnoliopsida; Malvales; Malvaceae.